This 214-nucleotide long non-coding RNA is filed under the name Homo sapiens (human). RNAcentral describes it as "non-protein coding lnc-BCR-3:1". The record is from RNAcentral. Lineage: Eukaryota; Metazoa; Chordata; Mammalia; Primates; Hominidae.
GAUGGUGGUGGCGAUGGAGGUAGUGAUGGAGGUGGUGUUACUGGCGGUGGUGGUGUGGAAGCGGUGAUGGGGGUGGUGAUGGUGGAGGUGAUGGAGGCUGUGGUGGUGAUGAUGGUAGUGAUGGUGCUGGUAGUGAUGGUGGUGGUGGUGGUGGUGGUGGUGAUGAUGCCGGUGCUGGUGGUGAUGGGGUGCUGGUGGAGCUGGCCAUGAUGGU